This 444-nucleotide ribosomal RNA is filed under the name uncultured bacterium. Its description in RNAcentral is "bacterial SSU rRNA". It matches the Rfam family "Bacterial small subunit ribosomal RNA", at positions 331 to 792 of the family's 1533-position model. The record is from RNAcentral.
CAAGACUCCUACGGGAGGCAGCAGUGGGGAAUAUUGCACAAUGGGGGAAACCCUGAUGCAGCGACGCCGCGUGAGUGAAGAAGUAUUUCGGUAUGUAAAGCUCUAUCAGCAGGGAAGAAAAUGACGGUACCUGAUUAAGAAGCCCCGGCUAACUACGUGCCAGCAGCCGCGGUAAUACGUAGGGGGCAAGCGUUAUCCGGAUUUACUGGGUGUAAAGGGAGCGUAGACGGCAGCGCAAGUCUGAAGUGAAAUGCCGGGGCUUAACCCCGGAACUGCUUUGGAAACUGUGUAACUUGAGUGCAGGAGAGGUAAGCGGAAUUCCUAGUGUAGCGGUGAAAUGCGUAGAUAUUAGGAGGAACACCAGUGGCGAAGGCGGCUUACUGGACUGUAACUGACGUUGAGGCUCGAAAGCGUGGGGAGUAAACAGGAUUAGAUACCCCGGUA